Molecule: long non-coding RNA, 4950 nt
Organism: Dermacentor andersoni
Lineage: Eukaryota; Metazoa; Arthropoda; Arachnida; Ixodida; Ixodidae
Source: RefSeq, a predicted model, not a curated record
GGCGUGCCUUACACAAGCAAAUACGGUAUCUUGCUUUCCCCUCUGAUCUGGCUCUUCCUAUUUCGGAUGAGCGAUUGAGAAUUGUUCAUUCCGCGGAGCUUAUGGGCUUGCUCGCAUAAUUUUCACUUUGGUUGCGGCAGGAUUAAUGAGCACGUGACAAGAACAGAUUCAAUUUGAAUGCAGAACGCAGAGCACUGGUUCCUUUUUGCUAUUUGUCCUCAACUAGUGGUUAACGUCUUUUCCAUUUUAUGUAUUCUGAUUUAUUCUUUCGGGCUACUCUAUUCUUGGCCAAUCCUCCAGAAGGGUAUGCGACAUUUCCACAUAGUGACAAUUAACCUACUCGGUCCUCGGAGCUCUGAACUCAACUUUUUACUUGUGAUGACUUAGAAUACCAGCUGUCAGCGCUUGCUGAGUGAUUAUUUUGUAACUAUAUGGCAAAAUUCCCUUUCACGAUGUUGGAGUUGAGGUGACUAGCGCCAGGGCAACUCUAGCCCCGUAUGCUACUAAAACAUUUACAAGAAUCCUGAAGAGGACUUGGCGGAGUAAUUGCUGAAUGUUAAUCUGCUUGAAUAUUUGCCUACACGCGAAACAAUAUCGUUCACAACGUCGCGCUUCAAGAGGAAGCUUUAGCUCGGGUGCUCCUAUCUAAAUACACGUAAAAGGAGAAUUCGUUUUUCUCGGUAACCACUGCACUAAAUUUGACGAGGUUUGUUGCAUUUAAAAGAAAAACUUAAAAUCUAGUGACUGUUGGUUUCGAAUUUUUUAUUUAGGUUGUGAUAUUUUAAUUGAAAAUUGGCAAAAAUGUAACAUUUGCAGAAAACGAAACUAUCAAGUUUACAACUUUGUAACUCAUCAUUGAAAAAUCAUAAUGCAAUUCUGUGAAAUGCAUCUAAUAGUACAUCUAAAGCGGACAAAACUGAUAUGUUACACAUGAACGUCAAGAAAAUGUAAUAACAUGUAAAUAAAGCUUUUGCACAACCCAUGUCUAAACAACGUAGCACAUUCACGUAAGAUGUAAAAUGACAUAUCGAAUUUGUCCGCUUUCAAUGAUCUAAUGGAUGCCGUUCACAGAACCGCGAUAUCUGGUCUUGAUGCAGAGCUAUGAAUUCUUAAACUUCGUGUUUCUAUUUCUUUUAAACUUUCGAAUUUUCGAAAAUUGCUUUUCACGAUAGUUUUCGUUAAAUGUCCAUACCUUCGUUUUCUUUAUUGUCUUCCGUAUGAUUUUCGUCCGAUGGCUCUUCAAUCCGGACCUGCCGUUGUUGUGCCUUCAAAAGUGGCACUUACCCAUUGUGGGGGAUGGGCCAAGAAUCGGGUAUAGUUGUACGUUCAGUAAAUAGCGAAUAAUAAAGCAGUCUAUAAAAAGGUGUGACUGCGAGCAAUAAGUUUCGUGUAAUCGAUCAGAGACCAGAUAAAUGGAUGGUGAAAUUUAAAAGGAGAGAUAAGAAGGCCGAUUGCAAAAUGCUGUAUUAGAGUAUAAUUUAGAAUACAUUUAUAGGCCCUGUUGUUAUUGCCGUUCUUCUUCAAUGUGUGUACAGCUGCUGUCUCCGGAUGAAGCAAAUUCUCUUCUCUUUUACUCUUCUCUUAAGGCGACACGAGCCACGUGUUGAGGCAACGACGACAACAGCAACAUAUCGAAUACGUUCGGGCUCCGCGCGGCGCCGUUUACGUUAUUCAGAUCGCGGUAGAAUCCUGCUUUCGACGAGCCAUGCCAGUGACAUAUUGUGUAUAUACAACGUUGUCCACAAACGGCCAGGAUCUGACAAACCGUAAAGUGGGGAAAAUGGUCAAACGUGAAUCUAGCAGUGGAGUAGCUGCACGCAUCUCAUAAACGACGCUAUCGCAUCCAAAACACUAUGUGUGUAAGAAAGCUGCAAACGUGACUAUAUCGGUGGAUUAACUGCACUACAGCACUCCAAUUCAAAAUGGAGUAACUGCGUUCCAGGAGGAUACACAUACACACUUUUGGGACAUGAAAACACAAUGUACGCAAAAUGUACCAACAUCUUUACUACGAGGCGCUCAUUUGAGGGAUCACCAGUAGUUUGUGCGCAGGCGCGAGUAAGAGCGGGCGAGAGAGAGAAAAUCUGGGGCUUUUGCUCCUUGAAUGUAUGUCUGCCUAGGCACCACGGAGGAGAUUUGUUAGCGCGUGUUGUAUGCGUUUGUCGCCUAGACAUGCCGGCAUUGCGGUGUGCGGUCGAGUUUGUUAACGCUCCGCCGCUGGCUGUUCACGCGAUGAGGCAGUGAGCGCGGACGCCACAUUUGGUGAUCGCUCUGUCUGAAGGGGCAAGGUUCUGACUGGUGUUGUAUAAGUCGCGGGUCGCUUUUUUCGUCGCGACGAUAGAUUGGAUUUUUUACGAGCACUGCUCCAGAGUAGGGCACAUGUAACCGGCAAGCGGAGGCCUCAGGAUAGCGCCUGAGGUUAUAGUAAAGCAGGCGGUGCAGGACACGGUGUGGACAGGCAAAAGUUCCACCGGUUUAAAAGGAAUUCGAAAAGCAUCAUUCCCUACUUCCACACCCUAUACCACCAGAUCAAAAAGCUAUAGCACAACAGGUGGCAGCUGGUGUUAUUUCUCACAGCUCUGAACAAGCUAGGACGGCUGUGCAGACGUGUAGACGCAGGAAAACGCCACCUCUGCGAAGAUGUGUGACGGUCACACCAGACAGUUUGUAGAGUGUUCAGUGGGCGUGGUUUACAAUGUGUCGUUGCCUUGUUCUCGUUGCUACGUGGAUAGACCGGGAGGUGUGCUUCUAAACGAGACUUGGUUAGCGGAAGUACAAUUUACGAUCAAGAGCGACAGCGUGAUGUCCAGGUAUGCGCUGCACGACGUGGCCAGGCGCUGUAUUUUAAAAACAGCGCAGUGCUUAAGCCCUUUAAGGACCUUUACGCGCGUUUGUUGUUUCAAGCGCACGAAAUUCUUUUAAAAGGCAAUAAUUGUCUUAGCGCACCGUCGAUUAGCCUAACCAGAAAAUAAGGCGCAUAUCUUAGAGGUUCUUAGAAUGCAUUAUAACUAUCAGAAUGUACCAGUGGCAUAUUGACAAGCAAAGUUUCUUUAUUUAUUUUUCUCUUGACCUUUUAUAAUAAUUUUAUUCCAUUUUUUACACACAUCCUGCACCACGCUCCUUUUCAUUAUAGAUAAUUUUACGGUUGCUUUUGUUGUCUUUUUUGUGUUUAGUACUUUACACGCGUUGUCUGUUAUUUUCCUUACGUGUUUUGUUUUCGUUGGUUUUGUUUUCUUGCUGCGUUAUCAUUAUUUUUCCCCUUUUAGUUUCAAAUAUAGUUUCCAGCGUGCCGGCAUGAUAGUUGCAAUUGGCGUUAGCUGCCCGCCGGACGUGACUCCUGCUUGUUUUAGUGCUUUAUAAACUCACAGCCUUAGUUGUUUUUGUGGAGGUUGGCUACUCUUUUUUUUUUUUUUUUUUGCUUCCCGACUGCUUUUUUGGAUAUAAAAGCGCUAGCAUUAAGAGCGAAAAAAAAAGAGUGUAUCUGUGUGAAGGUGUGAGAAACCGGUCACGUGGUAGAAGCAGAGAUGGGACGGGAGAGCAUAGAAAAGCGUGCAUAUGAGUGUGUAUAGCUGACACUAGGAAGGUAGCUGACGCUGAGCGCAGGCCACAGCUGGCAGGGGUCCUCUCUCUCUCUCGUUUGCGACACGGCCAUCGGCCCGUUCCGAGUGCCAUCGCCUCCCGGCCACAGUUUCGCGGCCACGCGCGCGAAAGGGCGCGAAAUGUGGAACCGCGGAAGUCGGUGGCACGCGGAAUUAGCGUCAGGCUAACCAGUGGCGUAUUGCUUCCAGUUCAUCUAGCUACGCUGAAGCAGGGACGUUCCCUUCGGUCCGCGGCGCGUAGCGGCCAAAGUACGCGGCCACUGUUCUUCCUUUUCCAUUCCUUGUACCACGCUGUGCUUUUGUCGCUCGACACGCGGACCAUGUUUGAAGAGUGCAUCUCCCACGGCUCGUGCGAUGACGCUUGUCAAAAUUUCAGGUACACACCCUAGGCCUCCGCUUCCAGCGCACUCCAGCAAUGCCCCUGCGUCCUGCCGUGUCCCAGACGGAUGACGUUCAUCGCCUGCCGUGCCGCGGCUGACCGUCUGUACACUUAUGCUCCAGCCACACAGCUACAGGUUUCCUGGCCAAUGACGACACCUGCGCGACCCGCCCUGCAGUACGUCGACUGCGCUUCCCCAGCCUUUGCCAUCAGUCACGUGCGGCGGAUUUUCCUGCGCCCUGACGCGUCCCAGACGAAUGACGUUCAUCGCCUGUUGUCCCACGGCUGACCGUCUGUGCACUUCUCCUGCAGCCAGACAGCUACUGGUUUCCUGGCCAAUGAAGAACCCUGCAGUACGUCGACUGCGCGCAGGUAAAUCAGAAUUCUUCCGACCCGUGCUGCGACGGUGUGCUGACGGCUAAUUAAGUUUAUUUUUUCGUUUUUUUUUUUUUUUUGUCGUUUCAGUCUGCAACCAUCGUCUUGACAUCCGCCGCCCUUGAAGAUUUGUCCCGCCUGCGUAGUAGGCCAUGACAUCCAGUGCUCAUCGUAGGGCGGCAAGCCUUGCUCACGAGACAGUUCUUCACAUUGCUACGCCCGCGGACGUUGAGCUGUAGGAAAAGUCCCUCUCUGCCAUUCUCUGUGCUGCCUCGAUGACGCUGCACAACUACGGAGUCGUGACGCGAACCCCGAUCACGACAUCCCUGUGAGAGUUCUUUCCGUCCGGUAGCUGUAUUAUGGCCGUUCGAUAAAGACUCGUAUUCAUAGCCCCUGACUGUUUGACGAGCAGACCAAAACAAUUCCAGGUAACAUGCUGGCUCAUCUGUGGUACACUGCUCAGUCAAUCUGUAGGUUGGCGCACGUUAAUUCCCAUCGUGUGCUCUCAUAAUGGUACGCUGAUGCUGGUUCGCAUUGUGUGUGUGUGUGUGUGUGUGUGUGUGUGUGUGUGUGUGUGUGUGUGUGUGUGUGUGUGUG